Stereum hirsutum FP-91666 SS1 is the source of this 94-nucleotide non-coding RNA. The record is from Rfam. Lineage: Eukaryota; Fungi; Basidiomycota; Agaricomycetes; Russulales; Stereaceae.
GCAUCAAUGGGGUAGCGGUAACCUGGGUCGUUAACCUAUGUUUGCCAGAGAACGUGUUUCCGACAUGCCGAGGGUUCGAUUCCCGCUUGAUGCA